CCUACGGGGGGCUGCAGUGGGGAAUAUUGGACAAUGGGCGAAAGCCUGAUCCUGCCAUGCCGCGUGUGUGAAGAAGGCCUUCGGGUUGUAAAGCACUUUCAGUGGGGAAGAAAGCCUUGGGGCUAAUACCCUCGAGGAAGGACAUCACCCACAGAAGAAGCACCGGCUAACUCCGUGCCAGCAGCCGCGGUAAUACGGAGGGUGCGAGCGUUAAUCGGAAUUACUGGGCGUAAAGCGCGCGUAGGCGGUCUGAUAAGCCGGUUGUGAAAGCCCCGGGCUCAACCUGGGAACGGCAUCCGGAACUGUCAGGCUAGAGUGCAGGAGAGGAAGGUAGAAUUCCCGGUGUAGCGGUGAAAUGCGUAGAGAUCGGGAGGAAUACCAGUGGCGAAGGCGGCCUUCUGGACUGACACUGACGCUGAGGUGCGAAAGCGUGGGUAGCAAACAGGAUUAGAUACCCCAGUAGUC
This 465-nucleotide ribosomal RNA is filed under the name Vreelandella stevensii. RNAcentral describes it as "partial 16S ribosomal RNA". It matches the Rfam family "Bacterial small subunit ribosomal RNA", at positions 338 to 795 of the family's 1533-position model. Lineage: Bacteria; Pseudomonadati; Pseudomonadota; Gammaproteobacteria; Oceanospirillales; Halomonadaceae. The record is from RNAcentral.